GAAAAGAACUUUGAAAAGAGAGUUAAACAGUACGUGAAAUUGUUGAAAGGGAAACGAUUAAAGCCAGUCGUACCGGCGGGUAAUCAGCCUUUUGGGUGUGAUUAUGUGGAGCGUGAGGAGUUUAAUCGCCUUCAUGCCUGCGUAUUCGUGCACUUUGGGUGUACUUGCUCGUGUGGUAGGUUAACAUCAAUUUCGGUCGUCAUAAAAUGACUGGGGGAAGGUAGCUCCUUCGGGAGUGUUAAGCCCUUGGUAGAUGUGAUGUCUGGGAUCGAGGAUUGCAACGGAUACCUUUUUGGGCUAGCCGCCUGGUCUCUAAUAUGAAGUUGGGUUACGGACAGCAUGCUGACUGUGAUCUAAUUUUCAGUUAAAAGAUUAGAGCGAGUGUAAAUUCGUUAAGGAU
Molecule: ribosomal RNA, 400 nt
Filed under: uncultured Glomeromycotina
Lineage: Eukaryota; Fungi; Glomeromycota
Description: eukaryotic LSU rRNA
Source: RNAcentral